RNAcentral lists this ribosomal RNA (549 nucleotides) under Chaetomium elatum. RNAcentral's name for it is "eukaryotic LSU rRNA". It matches the Rfam family "Eukaryotic large subunit ribosomal RNA", at positions 58 to 633 of the family's 3401-position model. The record is from RNAcentral. Lineage: Eukaryota; Fungi; Ascomycota; Sordariomycetes; Sordariales; Chaetomiaceae.
AAAGAAACCAACAGGGAUUGCCCUAGUAACGGCGAGUGAAGCGGCAACAGCUCAAAUUUGAAAUCUGGCUUCGGCCCGAGUUGUAAUUUGCAGAGGAAGCUUUAGGCGCGGCACCUUCUGAGUCCCCUGGAACGGGGCGCCAUAGAGGGUGAGAGCCCCGUAUAGUUGGAUGCCUAGCCUGUGUAAAGCUCCUUCGACGAGUCGAGUAGUUUGGGAAUGCUGCUCAAAAUGGGAGGUAAAUUUCUUCUAAAGCUAAAUACCGGCCAGAGACCGAUAGCGCACAAGUAGAGUGAUCGAAAGAUGAAAAGCACUUUGAAAAGAGGGUUAAAUAGCACGUGAAAUUGUUGAAAGGGAAGCGCUUGUGACCAGACUUGCGCCGGGCAGAUCAUCCGGUGUUCUCACCGGUGCACUCUGCCCGGCUCAGGCCAGCAUCGGUUCUCGCGGGGGGAUAAAGGCCCUGGGAACGUAGCUCCUCCGGGAGCGUUAUAGCCCGGGGCGUAAUGCCCUCGCGGGGACCGAGGUUCGCGCAUCUGCAAGGAUGCUGGCGUA